Molecule: long non-coding RNA, 916 nt
Filed under: Lactuca sativa (garden lettuce)
Lineage: Eukaryota; Viridiplantae; Streptophyta; Magnoliopsida; Asterales; Asteraceae
Description: long non-coding RNA (LSAT_LNC006858)
Source: RNAcentral
UGAUCAUUGGUUGGAAGGAAAGGGAAAAAUGUAUCAAUCAAGUAAGUUUUCGAAAGAACAGAUACAUGAGGCGUAUGACAAGUAUGCAAAUCCUUCAAUGAAUGGCAGUUCAUCAUCCAAGGAAUCCAACAUUACAGUUAAAGCCUGGAAACCAGUCACAAAAGCGAAAAGUGACAUAUCACAAACUCAACAUGCGAAGGGGAAUAUCAGUGAAAAUUUGAAAACAAUAAAACUCAUAUAUCUAACCCUUUGAAUGAAAAUGUUAAAUUUGUUGGCAGUUUCAAAACAAGGGUUUAUGAUUGGGUUAAAGGUUGUACUUUACAAUUGAAAAGACAUCUAAUAUGAAUGGACCCAACAAGUUUUGGGUACCUAAAAUUUUCCAAUAAUUGCAGGUACUUUGUGACGAGCAAUAUGAUAACAAGUGGUAUAUUGAUAGUGGUUGCUCACGUCACAUGACUGAGAAGAAGGAAAACUUACAUGAUUUUCGAAGUCUAGAGAAUGAUGGAGUGGUUAAGUUUGACAAUAAUCACAAGUGCAAAGUCAAGGGUUAUGGAAAGAUAACGAAUGGAACAUUCACUAUCAAUCGAGUUGCAUUUGUUGAAGGCUUACAACACAAUUUGAUAAGUGUUUCACAACUUGUUGUGGGAACUGGAAAUCAAGUUCUUUUUAAUGAAGAAGGCAGUGUCAUUUCGAAUGUUGACACAAAUGAAGUUUUACUAAAAUCAAAACGAAAAGGUGAUAUGUUUGCAUUGGAUGUAGUUCCCAUUGUUGGCAAACCUGCUGUGUGUUUACUUUCGAAGGNGAGACAAAUGAAGUUUUACUCAAGUCAAAACGAAAAGGUGAUAUGUUUACAUUGGAUAUAGUUCCCAUUGUUGGCAAACCUGUUGUGUGUUUACUUUCGAAGGCUGCUGCCGAU